This 313-nucleotide ribosomal RNA is filed under the name uncultured bacterium. RNAcentral's name for it is "bacterial SSU rRNA". It matches the Rfam family "Bacterial small subunit ribosomal RNA", at positions 28 to 341 of the family's 1533-position model. The record is from RNAcentral.
GACGAACGCUGGCGGCGUGCUUAACACAUGCAAGUCGAGCGGUAAGGCCCUUUCGGGGGUACACGAGCGGCGAACGGGUGAGUAACACGUGGGUGACCUGCCCUUAGCUCUGGGAUAAGCCUGGGAAACUGGGUCUAAUACCGGGAUAUGACUCCAUGACGCAUGUUGUGGGGUGGAAAGCCUUGUGCGGCUAGGGGAUGGGCCCNGGCCUAUCAGCUUGUUGGUGGGGUGAUGGCCUACCAAGGCGACGACGGGUAGCCGGCCUGAGAGGGCGACCGGCCACACUGGGACUGAGACACGGCCCAGACUCCUA